This 268-nucleotide long non-coding RNA is filed under the name Nicotiana benthamiana. Its description in RNAcentral is "long non-coding RNA (NBEN_LNC002682)". Lineage: Eukaryota; Viridiplantae; Streptophyta; Magnoliopsida; Solanales; Solanaceae. The record is from RNAcentral.
ACUGAAAGAAAUGUCUGGUGCUUGUAGGAGAACAUGUGAAUUAUGAUUCUGGAAAAAUUCUCUCUAGCAUAUACUUUAGAAUAUAUUACUUUACUAGAGCAUCAACUCGAUUGUGUAUGGUGGUCAAAUAUAAAAAAGAGAAAAACCGACAUGUUUUUGAGUAAUCUUACUCCAAAGCGCAAUCCCAAUAGUAUUUUGUAUUUUUCCUAAUUAAUUUCUCAUUUAAAAACAAGUUCUGCAUUUAUGAGCGUCGGAAUAUGGCCAGUCC